AUUGAACGCUGGCGGCAGGCCUAACACAUGCAAGUCGAGCGGAUGAAGGGAGCUUGCUCCUGGAUUCAGCGGCGGACGGGUGAGUAAUGCCUAGGAAUCUGCCUGGUAGUGGGGGAUAACGUCCGGAAACGGGCGCUAAUACCGCAUCCGUCCUGAGGGAGAAAGUGGGGGAUCUUCGGACCUCACGCUAUCAGAUGAGCCUAGGUCGGAUUAGCUAGUUGGUGGGGUAAAGGCCUACCAAGGCGACGAUCCGUAACUGGUCUGAGAGGAUGAUCAGUCACACUGGAACUGAGACACGGUCCAGACUCCUACGGGAGGCAGCAGUGGGGAAUAUUGGACAAGGGGCGAAAGCCUGAUCCAGCCAUGCCGCGUGUGUGAAGAAGGUCUUCGGAUGGGAAAGCACUGUAAGUUGGGAGGAAGGGCAGUAAGUUAAUACCUGGCUGUUUUGACGGUACCAACAGAAUAAGCACCGGCUAACUUCGUG
Molecule: ribosomal RNA, 484 nt
Filed under: uncultured bacterium
Lineage: Bacteria
Description: partial 16S ribosomal RNA
Rfam family: Bacterial small subunit ribosomal RNA
Source: RNAcentral